This 30-nucleotide non-coding RNA is filed under the name Homo sapiens (human). The record is from RNAcentral. Lineage: Eukaryota; Metazoa; Chordata; Mammalia; Primates; Hominidae.
UGGGAAGAAGGAGAAGAUCCGCAAAAGAAC